This 442-nucleotide ribosomal RNA is filed under the name uncultured bacterium. RNAcentral describes it as "bacterial SSU rRNA". It matches the Rfam family "Bacterial small subunit ribosomal RNA", at positions 29 to 514 of the family's 1533-position model. The record is from RNAcentral.
AACGAACGCUGGCGGCAGGCUUAACACAUGCAAGUCGAACGGGCACCUUCGGGUGUCAGUGGCAGACGGGUGAGUAACGCGUGGGAACGUACCCUUCGGUUCGGAAUAACCCAGGGAAACUUGGGCUAACACCGGAUACGUCCGCAAGGAGAAAGAUUUAUCGCCGAAGGAUCGGCCCGCGUCGGAUUAGCUAGUUGGUGGGUAAUGGCCCACCAAGGCGACGAUCCGUAGCUGGUCUGAGAGGAUGANCAGCCACACUGGGACUGAGACACCGGCCCAGACUCCUACGGGAGGCAGCAGUGGGGAAUAUUGGACAAUGGGCGAAAGCCUGAUCCAGCCAUGCCGCGUGAGUGAAGAAGGCCUUAGGGUUGUAAAGCUCUUUCAGACGGGAAGAUAAUGACGGUACCCGCAGAAGAAGUCCCGGCUAACUUCGUGCCAGCAG